Non-coding RNA from Schistosoma rodhaini, 45 nucleotides. Lineage: Eukaryota; Metazoa; Platyhelminthes; Trematoda; Strigeidida; Schistosomatidae. The record is from Rfam.
AUCCAGUUGACGGGUCCCAAAUAAGAUGAAACGCGCGUCCUGUAU